Molecule: long non-coding RNA, 1195 nt
Filed under: Salmo salar (Atlantic salmon)
Lineage: Eukaryota; Metazoa; Chordata; Actinopteri; Salmoniformes; Salmonidae
Description: lncRNA (ENSSSAG00000115807.1)
Source: RNAcentral
CAUUACUGUUCCUACCACUGCUGUAUGUUUCAUCAUGGUGGUAAUAGUAUGCUAGGUAAUGGUGGCUGAAACAGAAUUUCACAUAACAAGGGAGGGGAAAUGCAUCUGUCUCAAAUCCAAAAUGGCACCCUAUUCUCUACAUAGUGCACUACUUCCCAAGGGGCCCUAGUCAAAAGUAGUGCACUCUAUAGACCUAGGUAAUAGGGUGCCAUUUGGGUAGCAGAUAUGUAGAUGUUCUUUCACAUUGUUCACACUCGUAAUGCAGUGACACAACAAAGGAAGCUGGGUGGAUACCAUAACACUAUAGCCAGUCUGAGAUUAAACUCUAACUGAAUUACGUCAAUGAGUUCCUAUGAAUUUAUUAUUUGACCUAUGGAUGAUCCGAUGCUUGUCUAGAGGCAAAAUGGACUCUGUACAGAAGACCUCUGCGAAUAAAAGCUUUUGCUUCACCCCAAGGGAAACAUAAAAUACAAAAAAAAUAUUUCCACAUCAUAAACACAAUCUGCUCAGGAAGCUAGUUUUAUAAUGAGCAUGUUUGCUUGGCUAUGAUCACAAUAGGUGGAUUAGAGGAUUUCCGGGUGUUGUCAUUGUGACUUUGUCAUUGAAAUAUUGAAGAAAAUGGGCCAUGGAAUACAAGUCCCAUGCAGCUUUUCAAUGAAACUAGCUUCACAACCAAACAUUUGCACUAUACAUCUAUAGCUAGUUUAAUUAGAUAUAUACAGUUAUAUAUAUAUAUAUUUUCAUAUAUAUAUAUAUAUAUAUGAUUAUAGAACAUUCUACUGUGUAUUGGACUGUGUGUGGUUUAAAUUGAACUUGAAAUAAGUCCUUUGUUGUUUUAUUUUGUUCACAUUUAGAUUCACCCCAAUGUUAACCCUCAAUGAAUAUUUGUGAAUCAGGCAUACAUUGUUGAGUAAAGUUAAUAUAUCCCGAGGUAAAGGUAUAUUAUUUUUUCAACAGAGGAGUUUUAACACAAAAGCACUCAUUUAAUUUGCUAAACUGAGUGGUAGCUAUGUUGGACAAAUAGUCUUAUUGGGGACCAAUUUAAUCCAGCCAAUAUCAGAGUAAUUGAAUUCACACUCAGUUCAGAGCUUGUCUCUGGGAGUUAUUUUAUCAUAAACUCCCUGACAGUGAUCUGAAUGAUCAAAUAUUACCGGAAAAGCACGGGCAACACAGCUCAUCUGGGUUACAAUCUGCA